Molecule: non-coding RNA, 74 nt
Organism: Schistocerca americana (American grasshopper)
Lineage: Eukaryota; Metazoa; Arthropoda; Insecta; Orthoptera; Acrididae
Source: the annotation of a RefSeq genome assembly
UCCUCGAUGGCUCAGUCGGGUAGAACGUCUGCCAUGUAAGCAGAAGAUCCCGGGUUCGAGUCCUGGUUGGGGCA